AGCAACUCAAACUCUACUCACGAGGUCCAACACCGAAAUCUACAUAGAAAGUGCAGAGUGCAGUAUCAAUACAACCGACUCCAUGUACUGGUAAGUUUUGAGCCUAACCUCGGCAAAGUAAUGACGAGGCUAUGGCAAGACAAUAAUAUAAACCUAUGUAGUUAAAUCAUAUACGAGAAAGCAAUUAGAACAGAAAUUUAACAAAACAUACCGGGAAGGGGAAACAUGCUUAAGGGAAUAUCAAAUUCUGACAAUAAUACAAUAAAGAAGAAAAGUAAAUAUCAUGCUUGGAACCAACAAAAAUAAUAACAUAAUAACAUGAGCAUCACCCUUCGUGCUUUUACUCUUUUCCUCACCAUAAGAAAUAACAAAAAUGGCACGGCAUCACCCUUUAUGCAUUAACUCUCUCAUAAUCAUGGCAUGGCAUUACCCUUCGUGCAUUACCACUCAUAGAAUAUAGCACAACAUCGCCCUUCGUGCAUUAUCAAUAUAGAAUAUGGCACGGCAUCACCCUUCGUGCAUUAACACUCACUCACAAUAUCGUGCACGACAUCACCCUUUAUUCUUUGCACUCCUCCUCACCCAAACAAUAGAAACAAUAACAUCCCGGCAAGGGAAUCAACAAUAACCAAUCACGUUUCAACUGUUAACUUUACAAUAGGAAUAUCAACUUGAGUCAAUACUUAACCAAUUUCCAAAAUAGGGAAGAAUAUAAUAAAAUUUGUUUAGCAUGGAGAAUUAACCAAUUAAAGCAUGAAUAGUACAUAUAAAGGAAUACCACAAUCACAAGUAUAAGACUCACUUACAUGCUAUGACCCAACACUAAUGUAUAGGUACUUGUCACUUCACCUAUACGCCGUACUAAACAACUAAACACGUAGCAAAUAAGGAAACAACACCUAAUCCAUCAAUCUGAGGUUAGCCACAACACUUACCUCGAUUCCAUGGAAAAAAUCAAGCCUCAAUUGCUGCGUUACCUCUCGGUUCCACCUCUAAUUCACUUGUAUAUAGCCACAGUUAACCUAAUAUCAUCAAUAAAUGCUAGAGAAAUCAAUUCCAAUUUAUAGCUAUAAGUUUUCCAGCAUUUUCCCCAAAAAGUCAAAAAAGUCGACCCCAGGCUCGUUUGGCCAAAACUCAAAGUUCGGACCAAAACCCGAUUACUCAUUCACCCUCGAGCCCGAAUAUACUAUUAGUUUUCCAAUCCGACCUCAAUGUGAGUUCUAAAUCCCCAAAUUUUGAAAUUCCUAUAUUCUACCCAAGAACUCCCAAUUCCAUUAUGAAAACCCC
This 1287-nucleotide long non-coding RNA is filed under the name Nicotiana benthamiana. Its description in RNAcentral is "long non-coding RNA (NBEN_LNC015950)". The record is from RNAcentral. Lineage: Eukaryota; Viridiplantae; Streptophyta; Magnoliopsida; Solanales; Solanaceae.